Long non-coding RNA from Oncorhynchus keta (chum salmon), 2192 nucleotides. RefSeq lists it as uncharacterized. Lineage: Eukaryota; Metazoa; Chordata; Actinopteri; Salmoniformes; Salmonidae. The record is from RefSeq and is a predicted model, not a curated record. The transcript has 3 exons.
GCUUCUUGGUAGUAGUCCCAUAGUCCGGAAUAACUCGUGGACAAUGUCUCAGCCUACUAUUUAUCUUUAUCUUCUUCUGGAAAAGCCAUCCUGUUUCUUUUCUGUUAGAUGAGAUGUUGACUAGAUACGUGGCCUGUGUAUUUUCUGUUAGGUGAGAUGUUGACUAGAUACGUGGUCUGUGUAUUUUCUGUUAGGUGAGAUGUUGACUAGAUACGUGGCCUGUGUAUUUUCUGUUAGGUGAGAUGUUGACUAGAUACGUGGCCUGUGUAUUUUCUGUUAGGUGAGAUGUUGACUAGAUACGUGGCCUGUGUAUUUUCUGUUAGGUGAGAUGUUGACUAGAUACGUGGUCUGUGUAUUUUCUGUUAGAUGAGAUGUUGACUAGAUACGUGGCCUGUGUAUUUUCUGUUAGGUGAGAUGUUGACUAGAUGCGUGUUCUGUGUAUUUUCUGUUAGGUGAGAUGUUGACUAGAUACGUGGUCUGUGUAUUUUCUGUUAGGUGAGAUGUUGACUAGAUACGUGGCCUGUGUAUUUUCUGUUAGGUGAGAUGUUGACUAGAUACGUGGCCUGUGUAUUUUCUGUUAGGUGAGAUGUUGACUAGAUACGUGGCCUGUGUAUUUUCUGUUAGGUGAGAUGUUGACUAGAUACGUGGUCUGUGUAUUUUCUGUUAGGUGAGAUGUUGACUAGAUACGUGGCCUGUGUAUUUUCUGUUAGGUGAGAUGUUGACUAGAUACGUGGCCUGUGUAUUUUCUGUUAGGUGAGAUGUUGACUAGAUACGUGGCCUGUGUAUUUUCUGUUAGGUGAGAUGUUGACUAGAUACGUGGCCUGUGUAUUUUCUGUUAGGUGAGAUGUUGACUAGAUACGUGGCCUGUGUAUUUUCUGUUAGGUGAGAUGUUGACUAGAUACGUGGCCUGUGUAUUUUCUGUUAGGUGAGAUGUUGACUAGAUACGUGGCCUGUGUAUUUUCUGUUAGGUGAGAUGUUGACUAGAUACGUGGCCUGUGUAUUUUCUGUUAGGUGAGAUGUUGACUAGAUACGUGGCCUGUGUAUUUUCUGUUAGGUGAGAUGUUGACUAGAUACGUGGCCUGUGUAUUUUCUGUUAGGUGAGAUGUUGACUAGAUACGUGGCCUGUGUAUUUUCUGUUAGGUGAGAUGUUGACUAGAUACGUGGCCUGUGUAUUUUCUGUUAGGUGAGAUGUUGACUAGAUACGUGGCCUGUGUAUUUUCUGUUAGGUGAGAUGUUGACUAGAUACGUGGCCUGUGUAUUUUCUGUUAGGUGAGAUGUUGACUAGAUACGUGGCCUGUGUAUUUUCUGUUAGGUGAGAUGUUGACUAGAUACGUGGCCUGUGUAUUUUCUGUUAGGUGAGAUGUUGACUAGAUACGUGGCCUGUGUAUUUUCUGUUAGGUGAGAUGUUGACUAGAUACGUGGUCUGUGUAUUUUCUGUUAGGUGAGAUGUUGACUAGAUGCGUGUUCUGUGUAUUUUCUGUUAGGUGAGAUGUUGACUAGAUACGUGGUCUGUGUAUUUUCUGUUAGGUGAGAUGUUGACUAGAUACGUGGCCUGUGUAUUUUCUGUUAGGUGAGAUGUUGACUAGAUACGUGGCCUGUGUAUUUUCUGUUAGGUGAGAUGUUGACUAGAUACGUGGCCUGUGUAUUUUCUGUUAGGUGAGAUGUUGACUAGAUACGUGGUCUGUGUAUUUUCUGUUAGGUGAGAUGUUGACUAGAUGCGUGUUCUGUGUAUUUUCUGUUAGGUGAGAUGUUGACUAGAUACGUGGUCUGUGUAUUUUCUGUUAGGUGAGAUGUUGACUAGAUACGUGGCCUGUGUAUUUUCUGUUAGGUGAGAUGUUGACUAGAUACGUGGCCUGUGUAUUUUCUGUUAGGUGAGAUGUUGACUAGAUACGUGGCCUGUGUAUUUUCUGUUAGGUGAGAUGUUGACUAGAUACGUGGCCUGUGUAUUUUCUGUUAGGUGAGAUGUUGACUAGAUACGUGGCCUGUGUAUUUUCUGUUAGGUGAGAUGUUGACUAGAUACGUGGCCUGUGUAUUUUCUGUUAGGUGAGAUGUUGACUAGAUACAUGGUCUGUUUCUCUAUGUGUUUUGUAUUGUUGACAUGAACACUUACCUAAUAGGUGUUUUUUCCCAGUGGCCACGGGCUUUGAACUGGGUGCAACUCAUGGUGACAUAGUUCCCUGUCUUGUCUCUCU